RNAcentral lists this ribosomal RNA (3795 nucleotides) under Triticum aestivum (bread wheat). Its description in RNAcentral is "partial small subunit ribosomal RNA". The record is from RNAcentral. Lineage: Eukaryota; Viridiplantae; Streptophyta; Magnoliopsida; Poales; Poaceae.
AUGCCAUCCAUCCAAGAGAAUGACUUCCCCGUCGAAUCAUGUACUCCCGACAGUGCUGUUGACAAGAAAAACACAUCACCGCCGGCACCAUCAACGCCAGAAAAGGUGGCCAUGGACGAGCCGUUCCCGUUCUUUGGCUUGCUUUGCUACGCUGAUGCACUAGAUUGGAUGUUCAUGGUGUUGGGGACCAUGGGCUCCCUUGUGCAUGGCAUGGCGCCUUCGAUGUCCUAUUACAUACUUGGGAAAACUGUUGAUGCGUUCGGGAACAACAUAAACGAUCUGAACGCCAUGGUCCAUGAAUUUUCUAAGUUAGUUCCAUAUAUGUGGUUCUUGGCACUUAUUACACUCCCUGCUGGAAUAAUUGAAAUCGCAUGCUGGAUGUAUACAAGUCAAAGACAAAUGACACGCAUGCAGAUGGCAUAUCUGACAUCAGUGCUCAGCCAAGAUAUCGGAGCUUUUGACACUGACUUAACCACCGCGACUAUCAUGGCUGGAGCAACCAACCACAUGAGUAUCAUAAAAGAGGCAAUUGGAGAGAAGAUGGGUCACUUUAUGUCCAACUUCUCCACAUUCUUAGUUGCUGUCAUUAUUGCCUUUGUGUGUUGCUGGGAGGUGGGUAUGAUGGCAUUCUUGGUAGUUCCGAUGCUCCUCGUGGUUGGGGCAACAUAUGCGAAAAUGAUGGUUGGCAUGUCGGCGACAAGGAUAGCUUUGGUCUCUGAAGUAACCUCAGUUGUAGAACAGACUAUUUCACAUAUCAAGACCGUCUUCUCAUUUGUUGGAGAAAAUUCGGCGAUGAAAUCCUUCAUCGAAUGCAUGGACAAGCAAUACAAGCUAGGCAAGAAAGAGGCAAUUACAAAAGGACUAGGUUUGGGAAUGUUACAGAUUGCAACCUUCUGUUCAUACUCAUUGACCAUCUAUAUUGGAGCAUUGGCAGUAACUAGAAGAUCUGCAAAAGGGGGUGAAACAAUUGCUGCAGUCAUUAAUAUCCUCUCCGCUGCGAUAUAUCUCUCAAACGCCGCGCCGGAUCUUCAGACCUUCAGCCAAGCAAAAGCUGCUGGUAAAGAAGUAUUUAAGGUUAUCAAAAGAAAAACAGCGAUAAAUUAUGAAUCAAACGGAAGAAUCUUAGAAAAGGUCACUGGACAUAUUGAAAUAAGAGAGGUGGAUUUCACAUAUCCGUCCCGUAAAGACAAGCUGAUUCUUCAAGGUUUCACACUAGUUAUACCAGCAGGCAAAGUGGUGGCUCUUGUGGGGAGCAGUGGAUGUGGGAAGAGCACUGUAAUUUCUCUGGUUCAAAGAUUCUAUGAUCCUAUAUCAGGUGGCAUUACUGUUGACGGUCAAAACAUUAAGGAACUUGACCUGAAGUCCCUGAGGAGAAAUAUAGGCUCAGUCUCUCAAGAACCAGCACUAUUUUCUGGUACUAUCAUGGAUAACUUGAGAAUUGGAAAACUGGAUGCAACUGAUGAAGAGAUAAUUGAAGCAGCAAAAACAGCUAAUGUGCACUCUUUCAUAUCCAAACUUCCAGAUCAAUACUCGACUGAGGUAGGAGAAAGAGGGGUGCAACUGUCAGGAGGUCAGAAACAGAGAAUAGCUAUUGCAAGGGCUAUACUAAAAGAUCCCCCCAUUCUUCUUCUUGAUGAAGCCACAAGUGCACUUGAUUCAGAAUCAGAGAAGCUAGUUCAGGAUGCUCUUGACAGAGCUAUGAAAGGGAGGACAGUUAUCUUGAUUGCCCACAGAAUGUCAACAAUAAUAAAUGCAGACAAGAUUGUUAUUGUGGAGAAUGGGAGAGUAGCUCAACACGGAACACAUGAAGAAUUGUUGGAGAGAAGUACAUUCUACUCGAGUGUAUGCAGUAUGCAAAGUCUAGAAAAGAAAUCCAGCAAGAAUGAAGACAGAUUUACUGAUCAGGUCGAAGAAGAGCAAGACAGUGCAACGUAUAAAGAACAAUCUUUUGCUGCAUAUGAACAAGAGAAGAAACCAGAACCGACCUCAAAGCAAUCGAAGCAAAGUAUCAGAAAGAGAACGUCUGCUUUCAACAGGAUAUUCCUCGGAACUUUUAAACUGGUGCCAGGAAAGGUUCUGGUGGGCUCCACAGCAGCAGCAAUCUCUGGGAUCUCAAGGCCUCUAUUUGCUUUCUAUAUCAUGACAGUUGGCAUAGCAUACUUCGAUGCAGAUGCAAAUAAAAAAGUCAGCAAGUACUCAAUUAUUUUGUUCCUAAUAGGGAUGUUAACAUUUUUCAGUAACAUCUUCCAGCACUAUAUCUACGGCCUGGUCGGCGAAAGGGCAAUGAAUAACCUAAGGGAGGCCCUGUUUUCAGUUGUUCUUCGAAGUGAAAUAGGUUGGUUCGAGGAACCAAAAAACAGUGUUGGCUUCCUGACCUCACGUGUUGUCAGUGACACCUCCAUGGUAAAAACGAUUAUAUCUGAUCGAAUGGCUGUCAUGGUUCAAUGCAUCUCUUCAAUUAUUAUAGCAACAGCGUUAAGCAUAGCAGUGAACUGGAGGAUGGGUCUAGUUGCAUGGGCUAUGAUGCCAUGUCACUUCAUCGCUGGCCUUGUACAGGUCAGGUCAGCAAAAGGUUUUGCCACUGACAACUCUAAGUCUCACCGGAAGCUCAUCUCACUCACUUCAGAGGCUGUUAGCAACAUCCGCACUGUGGCCUCUUUUGUUCAGGAAGAAGAAAUACUCAGGAAAGCAGAUUUGGCAUUGCAAGAACCGAUGCGGAUAAGCAGGAUUGAGAGUAUCAAGUAUGGUGUGGUACAGGGGAUUUCACUCUGCUUGUGGCAUAUGACACAUGCUAUUGCAUUGAGUUAUACCAUUGUGCUACUUGACAGGAAACUAGCAACAUUUGAAAACUGUGUACGAUCAUACCAAGCAUUUGCAAUGACAAUACCUUCCAUCACAGAGCUAUGGUCCUUGAUCCCUAUGGUCAUGUCCGCCAUUGCGAUAUUGGAUCCUGCACUAGACAUUCUCGACAGAGAAACACAGAUUGUGCCGGAUGAACCAAAAUUGAACGGUGAGGACAGAAUUGUAGGUAAUGUUGAGUUCGAAGAUGUCAGUUUCAGCUAUCCCUCGAGACCAGAAGUGAUCAUACUAGAUGGAUUCAGUCUAGCUAUCGAAUCAGGUCAAAGGGUCGCAUUGGUUGGGCCAAGUGGUUCGGGAAAAUCCACAGUGUUGGCUCUGCUGCUAAGAUUCUACAAUCCUUGCAGCGGCCGAGUACUUAUAGACGGUAAGGACAUCAGAGGCUACAACCUCAAGAGCCUGAGAAAGCAGAUAGGACUGGUGCAGCAAGAGCCAAUCUUGUUCAACCUGUCUAUAAGACAGAAUAUCAGCUAUGGAAAUGAAGGCGCAUCAGAAACAGAAAUAGUGGAGGCCGCAAUGGAGGCAAACAUCCAUGACUUCAUAAGCAGCCUGUCAAAAGGGUAUGAUACCGUGGUCGGGGACAAAGGAGGCCAACUUUCCGGAGGUCAAAAGCAGAGGAUAGCUGUGGCAAGAACUAUACUGAAGAAGCCCGUCAUACUGCUACUAGAUGAGGCGACAAGUGCUCUAGAUGGUGAAUCUGAGAGGGUGGUAAUGAACACCCUCGGUGCAAAAGGGUGGAAAAACAAGGGUGAGCUCUCAAGCAAGAUCACAAGUAUCACGAUUGCCCACAGGCUGUCCACAGUCACAAACGCAGAUGUAAUUGUCGUCAUGGACAAAGGUGAGGUGGUAGAGACGGGUAGCCACGCAACAUUAGUCUCAGCAAGCAAUGGUGUUUACUCGAGACUGUACAAUAUGCAAAUCAAAGCAGGGAAAGACUGA